GGGUUGUGAGGUUAAGCGACUAAGCGUACACGGUGGAUGCCCUGGCAGUCAGAGGCGAUGAAGGACGUGCUAAUCUGCGAUAAGCGUCGGUAAGGUGAUAUGAACCGUUAUAACCGGCGAUUUCCGAAUGGGGAAACCCAGUGUGUUUCGACACACUAUCAUUAACUGAAUCCAUAGGUUAAUGAGGCGAACCGGGGGAACUGAAACAUCUAAGUACCCCGAGGAAAAGAAAUCAACCGAGAUUCCCCCAGUAGCGGCGAGCGAACGGGGAGGAGCCCAGAGCCUGAAUCAGUGUGUGUGUUAGUGGAAGCGUCUGGAAAGGCGCGCGAUACAGGGUGACAGCCCCGUACACAAAAAUGCACAUACUGUGAGCUCGAUGAGUAGGGCGGGACACGUGGUAUCCUGUCUGAAUAUGGGGGGACCAUCCUCCAAGGCUAAAUACUCCUGACUGACCGAUAGUGAACCAGUACCGUGAGGGAAAGGCGAAAAGAACCCCGGCGAGGGGAGUGAAAAAGAACCUGAAACCGUGUACGUACAAGCAGUGGGAGCCUCUUAAUGGGGUGACUGCGUACCUUUUGUAUAAUGGGUCAGCGACUUAUAUUCUGUAGCAAGGUUAACCGAAUAGGGGAGCCGAAGGGAAACCGAGUCUUAACUGGGCGUUAAGUUGCAGGGUAUAGACCCGAAACCCGGUGAUCUAGCCAUGGGCAGGUUGAAGGUUGGGUAACACUAACUGGAGGACCGAACCGACUAAUGUUGAAAAAUUAGCGGAUGACUUGUGGCUGGGGGUGAAAGGCCAAUCAAACCGGGAGAUAGCUGGUUCUCCCCGAAAGCUAUUUAGGUAGCGCCUCGUGAAUUCAUCUCCGGGGGUAGAGCACUGUUUCGGCAAGGGGGUCAUCCCGACUUACCAACCCGAUGCAAACUGCGAAUACCGGAGAAUGUUAUCACGGGAGACACACGGCGGGUGCUAACGUCCGUCGUGAAGAGGGAAACAACCCAGACCGCCAGCUAAGGUCCCAAAGUCAUGGUUAAGUGGGAAACGAUGUGGGAAGGCCCAGACAGCCAGGAUGUUGGCUUAGAAGCAGCCAUCAUUUAAAGAAAGCGUAAUAGCUCACUGGUCGAGUCGGCCUGCGCGGAAGAUGUAACGGGGCUAAACCAUGCACCGAAGCUGCGGCAGCGACACUUUGUGUUGUUGGGUAGGGGAGCGUUCUGUAAGCCUGCGAAGGUGUACUGUGAGGUAUGCUGGAGGUAUCAGAAGUGCGAAUGCUGACAUAAGUAACGAUAAAGCGGGUGAAAAGCCCGCUCGCCGGAAGACCAAGGGUUCCUGUCCAACGUUAAUCGGGGCAGGGUGAGUCGACCCCUAAGGCGAGGCCGAAAGGCGUAGUCGAUGGGAAACAGGUUAAUAUUCCUGUACUUGGUGUUACUGCGAAGGGGGGACGGAGAAGGCUAUGUUGGCCGGGCGACGGUUGUCCCGGUUUAAGCGUGUAGGCUGGUUUUCCAGGCAAAUCCGGAAAAUCAAGGCUGAGGCGUGAUGACGAGGCACUACGGUGCUGAAGCAACAAAUGCCCUGCUUCCAGGAAAAGCCUCUAAGCAUCAGGUAACAUCAAAUCGUACCCCAAACCGACACAGGUGGUCAGGUAGAGAAUACCAAGGCGCUUGAGAGAACUCGGGUGAAGGAACUAGGCAAAAUGGUGCCGUAACUUCGGGAGAAGGCACGCUGAUAUGUAGGUGAAGUCCCUCGCGGAUGGAGCUGAAAUCAGUCGAAGAUACCAGCUGGCUGCAACUGUUUAUUAAAAACACAGCACUGUGCAAACACGAAAGUGGACGUAUACGGUGUGACGCCUGCCCGGUGCCGGAAGGUUAAUUGAUGGGGUUAGCGGUAACGCGAAGCUCUUGAUCGAAGCCCCGGUAAACGGCGGCCGUAACUAUAACGGUCCUAAGGUAGCGAAAUUCCUUGUCGGGUAAGUUCCGACCUGCACGAAUGGCGUAAUGAUGGCCAGGCUGUCUCCACCCGAGACUCAGUGAAAUUGAACUCGCUGUGAAGAUGCAGUGUACCCGCGGCAAGACGGAAAGACCCCGUGAACCUUUACUAUAGCUUGACACUGAACAUUGAGCCUUGAUGUGUAGGAUAGGUGGGAGGCUUUGAAGUGUGGACGCCAGUCUGCAUGGAGCCGCGGGGUUGCGGACAGUGUCUGGUGGGUAGUUUGACUGGGGCGGUCUCCUCCUAAAGAGUAACGGAGGAGCACGAAGGUUGGCUAAUCCUGGUCGGACAUCAGGAGGUUAGUGCAAUGGCAUAAGCCAGCUUGACUGCGAGCGUGACGGCGCGAGCAGGUGCGAAAGCAGGUCAUAGUGAUCCGGUGGUUCUGAAUGGAAGGGCCAUCGCUCAACGGAUAAAAGGUACUCCGGGGAUAACAGGCUGAUACCGCCCAAGAGUUCAUAUCGACGGCGGUGUUUGGCACCUCGAUGUCGGCUCAUCACAUCCUGGGGCUGAAGUAGGUCCCAAGGGUAUGGCUGUUCGCCAUUUAAAGUGGUACGCGAGCUGGGUUUAGAACGUCGUGAGACAGUUCGGUCCCUAUCUGCCGUGGGCGCUGGAGAACUGAGGGGGGCUGCUCCUAGUACGAGAGGACCGGAGUGGACGCAUCACUGGUGUUCGGGUUGUCAUGCCAAUGGCACUGCCCGGUAGCUAAAUGCGGAAGAGAUAAGUGCUGAAAGCAUCUAAGCACGAAACUUGCCCCGAGAUGAGUUCUCCCUGACUCCUUGAGAGUCCUGAAGGAACGUUGAAGACGACGACGUUGAUAGGCCGGGUGUGUAAGCGCAGCGAUGCGUUGAGCUAACCGGUACUAAUGAACCGUGAGGCUUAACCUUACAACGCCGAAG
RNAcentral lists this ribosomal RNA (2874 nucleotides) under Escherichia coli. RNAcentral describes it as "bacterial LSU rRNA". It matches the Rfam family "Bacterial large subunit ribosomal RNA". Lineage: Bacteria; Pseudomonadati; Pseudomonadota; Gammaproteobacteria; Enterobacterales; Enterobacteriaceae. The record is from RNAcentral.